AUUAAAGUGGCAGAAUAGUGCGUUAGGUUUAAGGUCUAAAUAUAGAUUUAAGUCUCUUUAAUA
This 63-nucleotide transfer RNA is filed under the name Antarctonemertes valida. RNAcentral describes it as "tRNA-Leu". Lineage: Eukaryota; Metazoa; Nemertea; Enopla; Monostilifera; Oerstediidae. The record is from RNAcentral.